UCACCAGGAUUGACGUCACCUUUCAGUAGUGAGAUGACCUGACUUGACGUUACCUUUGAUCGUUUGGCCUCUUCCACCUUCCGUUUUAGACUCUUGACUUCCCUGGUUUUGUCUUUGGUUUUGUCAAGCGCCUGCUGAACCCCGAUGUAGUUACUGCUAAAGGGGGUAUCUUGGAGAUGUUUCUAAAAUUAAAUCAAAAGAAAAAUGUAGAAAGAUUCUGAGUGUGCCAAUAAUAUCAAAGACUGGAACAUGGCGUGAAUAUUUUGAAACAGGAGACCAAGAUGUCAACAUUUGUAGAAGGUAGAGUCAACAUAUCUAUGGAAUUUGGGGGGUCUUUUGCACAGUUUGUAACGCUAAUCCUCAAUACGCCAUUACACUUUCAUUUACCUGUUAAAUACUGACCCACUUAUCGAUUACAGUGACCUAAAUAUAACACAAAAUCGACAAAACUUUCGGUCUCUGUUGAACUUGGGUGACAAAGUCGUGCCAUAAUUUCAAGAGCGAGCUUCUUGGACAUGUGGGUGGUUCGAGGCAAUGUAAAUUUUAAAAAACCAAACAAAAAGUCAUGCUGUCCCGCAUGGGCUCCCUAAAGUAGAAUGAUCGAUUUCUGAUAGGGAUCGUGUCAAUAGCCAAUGCAUACCUAUCAUAUCAACAAUGUAUGUCAAUGAAUGAAUUCUCUUUUCAUAGAAAAAUACUCGCGGAAUUUUCAUAUCGUCAGGGAACUCCUUGUCAUGUCUGUAUUAAGACAGGUAAGAUAUUUAUAGACCGGCAAUUUAAAUGGAUAUCUUUUUUGCACUUGAUGUGCACACCUGUAGGCUAAAUUGUCGUUUUUCAUUUGACCGUCUUACCUGUUUAUCUCUGAGGAUCUGUAGCAGCUUCUGGGUCCCUCCCGGAUCCCGGUGGGACGCCAUGACUGGAAAAAAUCUGUUCCGAAAAAAGAAAAUAUGCGAAACUCACUACACAGUCAUCUUAAUAUGACAAGAAAUGUAAACAGAGCAGGCGGAUCCCGCGAUUUGCAGACAACACGAACGUGAAACGGACAUCGAUAACGAUAGCAGGUAGGAUGUCACUGGACAAAUAUUUAUCAGAGUUACGUCAACGAACUUCACACAGGGUCGUUUCAAGUUAAGGCUCUAUGGGUCUGCAUGAAUAGAGCUUCAUUAGAGGUUGAACAUCUUAAAUCCUGAAUAUUGGUGUAUAAGCUUUUUUCUCAUCGCCCUUGGCUGUCAUGGGGUUUUGCGUCUAAAGAAAUGCGUGUUUUUAAGAUCAGAUUUUUUGUUUAAAAUAUAUACUAGAGAAUGGUCACGGUUCUAACUUUGUUAUGUCAUUCUAAGGUUGAAUAAACUAUCAUCUGUCGUAUGUGCCAAGUGUUGUUUGUUUUGUAAACAAAUAAGACCUGAUGGCAAGUGGUGAUAUACCCUACACUGCACAAAAAACCAUUCAGUUGAUAAAAACAGCGUGAACACGAGACUCUGACUGACGAUAAACCGUAACAGAAGAAAAUGGACAGUCACACCACGGACAUUGUUGAAGUCUAAAAUCCCUCCUGCAAGUUUAGAAUAUUAGAUUUAAAAAACUUAAAGAAGCAUUAAUCAGUUACCAAAAAUUUUAUUCAAUGAAAAUUGCUCUAUAUUGUAUAUUUCAGUAAUAACACAGUAUUUUAAAAAUUAUUUCACACACUUUUUAACCUCAAAGCAGGCACAUGAAUAUGUAAUUUUGAUGAUUAAAUAAUUAUUGUGUCAGUGCAAGACAAUAAUUCUUCCUUAUAUAUUUCUGUACAAUGAAAGCCGUUAUCUAACGUAGUCGUAUUAGGUUUCUCUUGUUUUUGUACAAAAUAAAUAUUUUUAUUAGUCAUAAAUAUAUAUAUUCCUUAGCCACUGAGAGAUUUUGAAGAGAAAAAGGUUGCCAUCACAGCAUAUCUUCCUUUAAAUCGAAGCGACCUUUACUACAACAAUAUGACCAAAGCCUUUAAUGAUAUACUCGAAGAGACAUAAUUACACAAAUAUGUCAUAAAACUCGUAAACACGUAAUAAACAAUAACUCGUGCAUUCCUUGACAGAAUAAAAAAACAACAGCGGUUUUCUAUUAUCGACCUCCGGGCAAUAUUAUGUAAAUUUUAAUGUAGCGUACAUAUCGUCUUCUCUGUACUGAUCCCGUGAAGAAGACUGGGGAGAUAUGGCCUUUACCCCCGUCAUGGUCAAUUGACAACAACCUAUCUCUAUUAUAUAGGACCCUCCAGGAAGAAUUAAGACAUUUACCUUGACAAUUAAAAAUGAUACUAUGACGAAAUAGAGAGGAUUUGAGUGUACUUGAUAUGAAAGGCAAAGAACAGAACCUCCAAAUCGUGGGUCUGAUGAAUAGCAGGCCUGACGCCUUUGUGAAAGCCCUUGUGAAAGAUUCAACAUCUUCAAACGCACCUUGAUUAGAAACCAGCAUCCAAAACUCGUCCAGCCACAUUAGAAUAUUCAUAAACUUGUGGACUGAAUGGAAUCUCAAAUGUUGCAGAAAUUAACCCCUAAUUUCAAACGAUACAUGAGAUACCGCGAUAAAAUUUAAAAGAAUGAUGAAUCAAUGUUGAGGAGCUGUGGAACUGGUUGUAAAUACAGUGUAUAUGCUGACAAAACCCAUAAAUAAAACUGAAUAAAAAUGGAACCUACGCACUGGCCAGGCCAAACACCAUGGGGGCUUGUGACACUAAAACACAAAUUCUUUGUGUCCCUGGGAAUGGAUGACAUGGAAAAUGUGUUCAUAAUCUGGUCAGAUAAGUGGAAAGAAAGCAGUAGUUGGUUUAUAAUGAGUAAGGCGAUACACUUAUGGGCCCGGACAUCGCACCUACUAUUACUGGGAAUUUAUACCGUGUCGCCCUCUUAUACAUUUCUUCGAAAAACAUUUUUCCUCUUUCCUUUAUAUACAAUUUCACGAUAGAUUUGAAAUUUACAACUAUUUAAAGUGAAGGAAAGGAAGAUUAAAAAUUUCUUUAUCGUACAAACAUUUCUCAUCUCUAGAUAAACGUGCUUCGUUAUAAAAUAAACUCUUUCUAAAACUUUCGUUUUCGGCAAAGCAGCUUCCCCCCAGCACCUGUACAUACAUCUUAUUACAAUGCAGUAAUGGAUAUGAUAUCUUCGGAAUGAGUAAAUCCCAUCGAACACUUUGAAGAGACCCUGUCCACAUCACUGCAUCUCGUAGAAGAUUUGCUGACGGGUAAGGAAUCCAUAUUUUAUCUUUUGAGUCAUGGGAAACAUCAGUUUGAAAAAAGGGCCUGAAUCAUUGAUGUAGAAAACGUAAGCCAUGCUUUGCGUUUUAUUUGAUAAUAAUUCUGCACUAAUUAUAAAAAAAAAAAAAAAAAAAAAUCUAAAAGAUAAAUAUAGCAAUCUUAAGAAUUACUGGCUUUAAUCUUUGCCGACAUUUUUAAGUAGCAUUUUGAUUUUUGCCAUACAUGCAAGGGCAGUUUAUUAAAACGUCGACUUCGUAUAUUAAACAUGCGUGUUAGUCAACGAUAAAUAUCUCCUUAAACCCUUAUUUGUAUAGAAACCGACCGUAUAGUAUAUAUGUCCAAACAUUUAUGGUUAAAUCUUAAUCAAAGCUUUCACUGAGAAAAACUAAUACAUUGGUAUAAGAAGGUGUUUGUGUAUUGGAAAAGGUUUUCGAGGAUUACGCUCAAUGUAAUUCCCACAUUCCAAUCUAAUAGAUAAAUGUUUUUACACAGUUUCGUCUUUUUAAAGACAGUUUAUCAAAAUUUAAAUCGUGCCAUGAAUGGUUUCAGAUUUAUAAUACACGCAUGAUUACUUUAUCAAAAGAGAAGAGUAAUGUCGACAGAAAUUCUGCAAACAGGUUUAGAUGACUUUUGGUAAUAUCGACAGAAAUUCUGCAAACAGGUUUAGAUGACUUUUGGUGUUUGUCGUAGGCCUGACAGAACAAUGGCGGAGAAAGGCAGCUUCCUUUGCCUCUGAAACCAACAAUACACUAGCUAUAGUGGUGACGUCAUCUCUGAAAUUGUACUCCAGCCCACCGUCACAAAGUGACAGUUCCCAGGCAGUGUUUGUUUGUCAUGCUGCAAUUUGUCAUAAUUCCUGUUGGGAUCGAUUGGUUGUGAUCAGACAACAAUAAUAAUCAAGUAUCAAGACAUGAAUCGAUCACUUGUAGGAGGUUUAUGUAAAUGUCCCAGGUCCAGUACCAUGAUGGGCCACACCUGCAAGUCAAUAACAACUGAGGUAUCUUAUGAUAGGGCUGCUGUGUCACCCCAGUUUAACAACCUCUGUGAACCACAAAUAUCGCCCCUUAAUUUGUACUUCCUCUUGGCACGUGAGAUCGCAGCGACACCAAGCGUCAAAGAUACCAUUUAUCGUCGGCACUCGGUCUUCCGAAGAAUGGAAAUGACCGAGUGGCUAUAAUUGUCAUCUUCGGACUAUCAAUGAUCUGCAUUCCGUAAUCUAUUUGAAAACCAAUGCUCAUAGUGAAAUUUACAAGUUCACGUAGCACGAGAUUUAUCCGGAACAACAUGCAGCGCAUUAGUUUUACAAAAGCAGGAAGGUUGGUAAAGAAUGUCAUAGAUGCAAACGGAAUAAAUUAGGACAUUUUUGGGGAACUAGAAAUGCAGCAGUAUCUAACUGGAGGAUCAUAAACAGUGAUCCAGACGGAACAAAAGGUGCAAUUACUCACCUGUAUUAAUUGACUCAAUCCAGACGGGUCACGGGUAAGGCAAUCAAAGGAACUACGGAACGUUCGACCUUUUCACUCUAGACGUUAUAUACAUACCAUACCAUGAGCCCUGUGUUUUGGUGGGUAUUAGCCGUCCUUAUAGAAAACUGAAAAGCCUAUUAAAUCCUUUCUUGGUCUAAUCCUUCCUGUAAUAUUUCACUAUUCACAGCUAUUUAUUUCGGUCUUUAAGCAUAGAGCGAAGUUACAGUUAAAACCUGUAGCUCUCUUUCCUAUCAUUUAUCACAUUAAACGAUUGCUCAAUAAACGACAGAUUUCUCGGGUCGUUUUUGAGUCUUUACAAUAAAGUAUGUACUCAUAAUGUACAUUACUUCGAAUUUCAAAAACGACCUAAUUUUACGAUUUGCAGCAGAGCAGUUUUGUUGGAGAUGAAUAGAAACAUGUUGACAGAAGUAUCUGGUUUCAUGUAAGGGUUUAGAGCGCCAGUUCUAUGAUUGGUCGUACUAUUGAACGAGACAUCAAAUAAUGUAUUUUAUGAUUUAAUUCGACAUGCUAUAUGCAGCUCUAUUGUUUUGUGUGUCGAUUCCAACACGGGGACUACUUGAUCAUCGAUACGAGAUAGCUUAUUUCAUUAGAAGCUUUUCUGUCGGGGGAGUUCAACAAGUAAUUCAUUAAUGGACACCGUUAUCUGUGUUUUAAAUUUAGCGGAACCAUCAUCACGUGAGUAUAAGACAGAAUUGAAACCGCCGUCAGAUAUUGUUGUCGAGCAGAAGUUUGAUAAAAAAGAAAAGAAAAAAAGAGGGUCCCCAGAAUAAAGGUUACACUCCCCUAAGCACAAAAUGGAGACCAAAACUUUGUGACAGAGGACCAGAUCCUUGUAGACAAUCGAAGGCUUUGGGACCAACGAAGAAAAACACACAUAGUUCGCUUGGGUAGAGCUGAUACUGCCUGUCUAUUAAUUAAUCAUUAGUUCCCAGUGUUAAUGGGACGGUACGUAUUGUCAGUCACAAAUAUGAAAUAUGUGGAUUGAUCAAAGGAUGAAAUUAGCGUCCAACUGUUCCCUGCCAUUUUGUGCUUUAUCGACGUCCUUGCACCGAGACCGUCAACAGAAAAGCAAAAGAGGCAAUUUACGGUGGGCAACAAAACUCGGUUCAUUUUAUUUAAACGAUUUGUAAACAGAGAAGGGCGUUUGAUCAAAGCACGGGAAAUAAGUCAUUAAACAAACUGAAAUUGAAUUUCAACUAAACUCAUGGUGUAACACACAUAGGAACCAAUCAUUAUAAAUGAAGAACAAGAUUCAUUCUGAAGUGAAAAAGAGAAUACUGCAUACCCAAUUAUGCCAAACAUUGCCAAAUAUAAACCUGUUUUAUUCUAUUAUUCAAAACAUACCUGUGUCUUCCAAAAUGACACACACUUGAAUGAAAUUAAAUAUUUAUACAUGCAUAGCAUUUGUUAAAUAUUUGUGGCAGUCAUUCACUCGUUCUAAGAGAGAUACAUCUACUUUAUUUUACCAAUUUAGACAGAAGAAAAUCAAAUACAUAUAUAUAAAACAACAAAGUUUUAAGAACAGAGAGCGAUCCAUUGUCUAGAGUAAUCCUGUGAUGGAUGAUAAUCGUUUCGUCAGAUGGUCGUCCGCCAGGAGUUUAUCUCAUGUCGGGAUCACGACACACUAUAAGAAGCGUCCAGCCCAACGACCAAGCCAUGAGAGAGUCUCGUCCCUCCCACAGCACCAUAAGCCGUGUUGUGUUUGGUUACGUUAAUCCGCUAAUCGCCAUAUUUGGCUUUAGGUUGUAUGAGGUCAGACAAUGGUAUCUUGAGAAAAGGUUAGUUCUGAGAUAAACGCCAUAAAAUGUUUUAUUUUCCUAGUUUGGCACCUGAGGCCCUGCUGAGUUAUGUGUGUGUUUCCGUCUGACGGGGUAACCCUGUAGUAAUGAAAUAACAAGGUGCUGGAUAUAUGCGAAUCGCCCGUUACAGGUGUCAACCUCUAGUGUGCUGUAUGACUUAGGACAACCUGAUGAAUAGUACAGAUUACCCGUCCGUUAAUUUAAAUCUCUAUAUUAAGCGUUUCAUACACCAUGUAAAGGUCUAUACCACCAAUGUGUGCAGCAAAAACUUAAUUGAUAGAAGAAUGUCAAAUUAAAAGUUGUGGACUACAAGUCGAUUGCAAAUACAAGGUACACACAAAUUCAGUAUACUUGACAUGUCAAACUGAAGAUCGCUAAUAAAAUCAUUACUGCCCAUCUAAAACAAAGAUGGAUUACUCCGACAAGGUCGUUUUUAUCUUUAUAGCUCUGAUCUUAUGGUAAUGAGACAUAAAAUGAAUUUACUAUCCAUCUUGCUAAAAAUUCUUCAGCUCGGUUUUUAUAGAAUACAUUUAAAAAACGAAGAGAGAAGACAAUAUGAUGUGCACUAAAUGCUUACCUUUAGAUCAGAUAAUUUUAAUUCCUGAACAAGGGAACAAUCUAAUGACACUGAAUAAGUUUCUUUACAGAAGAGAGUCGAUGUGUCACUGGGCCGGACAUUACUUUCACCUGUUGACUAAGAGCCCCCUGGAUCUCAAGCGUGACGCUACCUGAAUGUCGGGGACCUUCUCAAAACCUACACAUGGUAAUCAACACUUUGCAUCAUACUACCAUGUUCAACGAUGAGAAAUAUUUUCAGAGGAAGUUAUAAAGAACCUUAUUAUCAUGUACAUAAUCUACUAAUCCUUAGCGUCUAGAGCAAGCGUACCGAUUAAAACACGAGUAUUUAGUUCACUGGGUAUGCCCAAUUCUAGCAAAUACAAUAUGUUGAUGCCAAUGCACAUUCCAAAAAAAAAAACUCUUGUCUGAAUUCAUAGUUUUAUUUAACAGAUACUUUAAACAUUAUCUACAGUUUAAACUCUCAUUGGAGAAGCCGCUCUGGUGUCCUGGACAAGUACAUAAUGACCAAAAAGUCUCAGAAAUUGAAAACCCAGGGAUCUCACAUGAUUACCAACAGGACAACACAGCGGCUUAGUGAAAUACCAAUAACAAUUUUAUACACAGAAGCAUUGUGUCCAUUGACACCUCUCUCACAGACUCUACAUACAUCAAUGAUAUUAAAACACCCUUGGAUUCUCAAUUCAGUCCUAUCAGACCUAGUCAGUCACAAGCCACUGAUCUGUCAAAAAUCAAGGCUAAAAAAAAAAGAGUAUAAAAA
Molecule: long non-coding RNA, 7836 nt
Organism: Ostrea edulis (European flat oyster)
Lineage: Eukaryota; Metazoa; Mollusca; Bivalvia; Ostreida; Ostreidae
Exons: 3
Source: RefSeq, a predicted model, not a curated record